CCGAAAGGCAGGAGUGCCUGCAAGGGAGCGCGGAGACAGGUGGUGCAUGGCUGUCGUCAGCUCGUGUCAUGAGAUGUUGGGUUAAGUCCCGCAACGAGCGCAACCCUCACCUCUUGUUGCCAUCAGGUCAUGCUGGGCACUCUAGAGGAACUGCCCCGGUCAACGGGGAGGAAGGCGGGGAUGACGUCAAGUCAUCAUGCCCCUUACGUCCUGGGCUACACACGUGCUACAAUGGCCGGUACAAAGGGAUGCCACACCGCGAGGUAGAGCUAAACCCAAAAAGCCGGUCUAAGUUCGGAUUGGAGUCUGCAACUCGACUCCAUGAAGGAGGAAUCGCUAGUAAUCGCGUAUCAGCACGACGCGGUGAAUACGUUCCCGGGCCUUGUACACACCGCCCGUCACACCACGAAAGCCAG
This 416-nucleotide ribosomal RNA is filed under the name uncultured bacterium. Its description in RNAcentral is "bacterial SSU rRNA". It matches the Rfam family "Bacterial small subunit ribosomal RNA", at positions 1001 to 1414 of the family's 1533-position model. The record is from RNAcentral.